Molecule: long non-coding RNA, 475 nt
Organism: Podarcis raffonei (Aeolian wall lizard)
Lineage: Eukaryota; Metazoa; Chordata; Lepidosauria; Squamata; Lacertidae
Exons: 3
Source: RefSeq, a predicted model, not a curated record
AGUGCCUGGCCUGCUCUCGUCCAUGGUGUCACAAAGAGUCGGACAGGACUAAACAACAACAAAGUCCUGUCUAGUCAGAGGCGGGUCCCUCAGGGCAAAACACUGCCUACACAGGAGUAAACCCCUCCAAGGAAAUCCUGUGUUAAGCCCCACUGAGUUCAGCAGAAGCUUACUCCCAGGGAAAGAACCUGUACCACACCAGCUUGCCUGUUGGAUACCCCCUGCGUGAUUGCUUCAGAACCCUGUUGCUUGCAGAUAAUUGUGGGAAAGAUUCUAGCUUGCCGCCUCUGUUCCUAAGGUGACAGUUCUGGUGAGUAAUCUGCCUUUCAGCUAGCACCAAGUUUGUAAUCCGAGAGACAGAACCAGGCCCCAGCAAGGCCAGGCUAAAUACAGCAGAAGACAAGCCCAGGUAGAGAAGGCAAAGGUGGGUCAGCACCCUGGAUAGCUUCCAGUGACACCUUGGCUGGAAGUCGCA